GGACCCGCACAAGUAGUGGAGCAUGUGGUUUAAUUCGAUGCAACGCGAAAAACCUUACCUACUCUUGACAUACUUGGGAGCUCUUGUAAUGAGAGUGUGCCUUUUGGAACCAAGAUACAGGUGCUGCAUGGCUGUCGUCAGCUCGUGUCGUGAGAUGUUCCGUUAAGUCGGAUAACGAGCGCAACCCUUACCCUUAUUUGCCAGCGAUUCGGUCGGGAACUAUAAGGGGACUGCCGGUGAUAAACCGGAGGAAGGUGAGGACGACGUCAAGUCAUCAUGGCCCUUACGAGUAGGGCUACACACGUGCUACAAUGGGGAAUACAGACGGACGCUAAGCCGCGAGGUGGUGCUAAUCCUAGAAAGUUCUUCGUAGUCCGGAUUGGAGUCUGCAACUCGACUCCAUG
This 404-nucleotide ribosomal RNA is filed under the name uncultured bacterium. RNAcentral's name for it is "bacterial SSU rRNA". It matches the Rfam family "Bacterial small subunit ribosomal RNA", at positions 917 to 1322 of the family's 1533-position model. The record is from RNAcentral.